This 115-nucleotide ribosomal RNA is filed under the name Microcebus murinus (gray mouse lemur). The record is from RNAcentral. Lineage: Eukaryota; Metazoa; Chordata; Mammalia; Primates; Cheirogaleidae.
UAUUGUCCAUGGCCACACCACCCUGAACGUACCUGAUCUUGGAAGCUAAGCAGGGUCGGGCCUGUUUAGUACUUGGAUGGGAGACUAAAUAUUAUUGCAACAGACCCUACAAUAC